This 436-nucleotide ribosomal RNA is filed under the name uncultured bacterium. RNAcentral's name for it is "bacterial SSU rRNA". It matches the Rfam family "Bacterial small subunit ribosomal RNA", at positions 957 to 1391 of the family's 1533-position model. The record is from RNAcentral.
GAACGCGAAGAACCUUACCAGGUCUUGACAUUGAUGGACAGAACCAGAGAUGGUUCCUCUUCUUCGGAAGCCAGAAAACAGGUGGUGCACGGUUGUCGUCAGCUCGUGUCGUGAGAUGUUGGGUUAAGUCCCGCAACGAGCGCAACCCCUAUCUUAUGUUGCCAGCACGUAAUGGUGGGAACUCAUGAGAGACUGCCGCAGACAAUGCGGAGGAAGGCGGGGAUGACGUCAAAUCAUCAUGCCCCUUAUGACCUGGGCUACACACGUACUACAAUGGGAGUUAAUAGACGGAAGCGAAACCGCGAGGUGGAGCAAACCCGAGAAACACUCUCUCAGUUCGGAUCGUAGGCUGCAACUCGCCUACGUGAAGUCGGAAUCGCUAGUAAUCGCAGGUCAGCAUACUGCGGUGAAUACGUUCCCGGGUCUUGUACACACC